GGUUAAGCGACUAAGCGUACACGGUGGAUGCCCUGGCAGUCAGAGGCGAUGAAGGACGUGCUAAUCUGCGAUAAGCGUCGGUAAGGUGAUAUGAACCGUUAUAACCGGCGAUUUCCGAAUGGGGAAACCCAGUGUGUUUCGACACACUAUCAUUAACUGAAUCCAUAGGUUAAUGAGGCGAACCGGGGGAACUGAAACAUCUAAGUACCCCGAGGAAAAGAAAUCAACCGAGAUUCCCCCAGUAGCGGCGAGCGAACGGGGAGCAGCCCAGAGCCUGAAUCAGUGUGUGUGUUAGUGGAAGCGUCUGGAAAGGCGCGCGAUACAGGGUGACAGCCCCGUACACAAAAAUGCACAUGCUGUGAGCUCGAUGAGUAGGGCGGGACACGUGGUAUCCUGUCUGAAUAUGGGGGGACCAUCCUCCAAGGCUAAAUACUCCUGACUGACCGAUAGUGAACCAGUACCGUGAGGGAAAGGCGAAAAGAACCCCGGCGAGGGGAGUGAAAAAGAACCUGAAACCGUGUACGUACAAGCAGUGGGAGCCUCUUUAUGGGGUGACUGCGUACCUUUUGUAUAAUGGGUCAGCGACUUAUAUUCUGUAGCAAGGUUAACCGAAUAGGGGAGCCGAAGGGAAACCGAGUCUUAACUGGGCGUUAAGUUGCAGGGUAUAGACCCGAAACCCGGUGAUCUAGCCAUGGGCAGGUUGAAGGUUGGGUAACACUAACUGGAGGACCGAACCGACUAAUGUUGAAAAAUUAGCGGAUGACUUGUGGCUGGGGGUGAAAGGCCAAUCAAACCGGGAGAUAGCUGGUUCUCCCCGAAAGCUAUUUAGGUAGCGCCUCGUGAAUUCAUCUCCGGGGGUAGAGCACUGUUUCGGCAAGGGGGUCAUCCCGACUUACCAACCCGAUGCAAACUGCGAAUACCGGAGAAUGUUAUCACGGGAGACACACGGCGGGUGCUAACGUCCGUCGUGAAGAGGGAAACAACCCAGACCGCCAGCUAAGGUCCCAAAGUCAUGGUUAAGUGGGAAACGAUGUGGGAAGGCCCAGACAGCCAGGAUGUUGGCUUAGAAGCAGCCAUCAUUUAAAGAAAGCGUAAUAGCUCACUGGUCGAGUCGGCCUGCGCGGAAGAUGUAACGGGGCUAAACCAUGCACCGAAGCUGCGGCAGCGACGCUUAUGCGUUGUUGGGUAGGGGAGCGUUCUGUAAGCCUGUGAAGGUGUGCUGUGAGGCAUGCUGGAGGUAUCAGAAGUGCGAAUGCUGACAUAAGUAACGAUAAAGCGGGUGAAAAGCCCGCUCGCCGGAAGACCAAGGGUUCCUGUCCAACGUUAAUCGGGGCAGGGUGAGUCGACCCCUAAGGCGAGGCCGAAAGGCGUAGUCGAUGGGAAACAGGUUAAUAUUCCUGUACUUGGUGUUACUGCGAAGGGGGGACGGAGAAGGCUAUGUUGGCCGGGCGACGGUUGUCCCGGUUUAAGCGUGUAGGCUGGUUUUCCAGGCAAAUCCGGAAAAUCAAGGCUGAGGCGUGAUGACGAGGCACUACGGUGCUGAAGCAACAAAUGCCCUGCUUCCAGGAAAAGCCUCUAAGCAUCAGGUAACAUCAAAUCGUACCCCAAACCGACACAGGUGGUCAGGUAGAGAAUACCAAGGCGCUUGAGAGAACUCGGGUGAAGGAACUAGGCAAAAUGGUGCCGUAACUUCGGGAGAAGGCACGCUGAUAUGUAGGUGAGGUCCCUUGCGGAUGGAGCUGAAAUCAGUCGAAGAUACCAGCUGGCUGCAACUGUUUAUUAAAAACACAGCACUGUGCAAACACGAAAGUGGACGUAUACGGUGUGACGCCUGCCCGGUGCCGGAAGGUUAAUUGAUGGGGUCAGCGCAAGCGAAGCUCUUGAUCGAAGCCCCGGUAAACGGCGGCCGUAACUAUAACGGUCCUAAGGUAGCGAAAUUCCUUGUCGGGUAAGUUCCGACCUGCACGAAUGGCGUAAUGAUGGCCAGGCUGUCUCCACCCGAGACUCAGUGAAAUUGAACUCGCUGUGAAGAUGCAGUGUACCCGCGGCAAGACGGAAAGACCCCGUGAACCUUUACUAUAGCUUGACACUGAACAUUGAGCCUUGAUGUGUAGGAUAGGUGGGAGGCUUUGAAGUGUGGACGCCAGUCUGCAUGGAGCCGACCUUGAAAUACCACCCUUUAAUGUUUGAUGUUCUAACGUGGACCCGUGAUCCGGGUUGCGGACAGUGUCUGGUGGGUAGUUUGACUGGGGCGGUCUCCUCCUAAAGAGUAACGGAGGAGCACGAAGGUUGGCUAAUCCUGGUCGGACAUCAGGAGGUUAGUGCAAUGGCAUAAGCCAGCUUGACUGCGAGCGUGACGGCGCGAGCAGGUGCGAAAGCAGGUCAUAGUGAUCCGGUGGUUCUGAAUGGAAGGGCCAUCGCUCAACGGAUAAAAGGUACUCCGGGGAUAACAGGCUGAUACCGCCCAAGAGUUCAUAUCGACGGCGGUGUUUGGCACCUCGAUGUCGGCUCAUCACAUCCUGGGGCUGAAGUAGGUCCCAAGGGUAUGGCUGUUCGCCAUUUAAAGUGGUACGCGAGCUGGGUUUAGAACGUCGUGAGACAGUUCGGUCCCUAUCUGCCGUGGGCGCUGGAGAACUGAGGGGGGCUGCUCCUAGUACGAGAGGACCGGAGUGGACGCAUCACUGGUGUUCGGGUUGUCAUGCCAAUGGCACUGCCCGGUAGCUAAAUGCGGAAGAGAUAAGUGCUGAAAGCAUCUAAGCACGAAACUUGCCCCGAGAUGAGUUCUCCCUGACUCCUUGAGAGUCCUGAAGGAACGUUGAAGACGACGACGUUGAUAGGCCGGGUGUGUAAGCGCAGCGAUGCGUUGAGCUAACCGGUACUAAUGAACCGUGAGGCUUAACCUU
Molecule: ribosomal RNA, 2903 nt
Filed under: Escherichia coli
Lineage: Bacteria; Pseudomonadati; Pseudomonadota; Gammaproteobacteria; Enterobacterales; Enterobacteriaceae
Description: 23S ribosomal RNA
Rfam family: Bacterial large subunit ribosomal RNA
Source: RNAcentral